CCCUUAGAUGUUCUGGGCCGCACGCGCGCUACACUGAUGCAUUCAACGAGUUUCUUCCUGGUCCGAGAGGAAUGGGUAACCUUUUGAAAGUGCAUCGUGAUAGGGAUAGAUUAUUGCAAUUAUUAAUCUUCAACGAGGAAUGCCUAGUAAGCGCAAGUCAUCAGCUUGCGUUGAUUACGUCCCUGCCCUUUGUACACACCGCCCGUCGCUCCUACCGAUUGAAUGGUCCGGUGAAGCGUUUGGACUAUGGUUUUCUGAUGGUCCGCCGUUGGAUUACCGUGGGAAGUUCGUUAAACCUUAUCAUUUAGAGGAAGGAGAAGUCGUAACA
RNAcentral lists this ribosomal RNA (328 nucleotides) under uncultured eukaryote. RNAcentral's name for it is "partial 18S ribosomal RNA". It matches the Rfam family "Eukaryotic small subunit ribosomal RNA", at positions 1470 to 1796 of the family's 1831-position model. The record is from RNAcentral.